Molecule: unclassified non-coding RNA, 251 nt
Filed under: Hevea brasiliensis (rubber tree)
Lineage: Eukaryota; Viridiplantae; Streptophyta; Magnoliopsida; Malpighiales; Euphorbiaceae
Source: RNAcentral
UUUUUUUAAAUAAUAAUAAUAAUUAAUGAAGUGUGUUUAGUCAGCCAGCUUCCAGCUCUAAAUGAAAGGAUCUUGUAAAGGCAACCCAAGGAAUGGAUGGGUUAUUGAAGGUGGAAUGUGUUGAAUUCUGUAAAUGUCCACUUAAACUUCAGUAGCACUUCUCUAAUUUAAUAAUAAUAUGUAUGGAGCACAUAAUGCUGUGAAAUGCAUUCUCUCAUAUAAGCAACAAAGAGACAGAGAGAGAGAGAGAG